This 253-nucleotide ribosomal RNA is filed under the name uncultured bacterium. RNAcentral describes it as "partial 16S ribosomal RNA". It matches the Rfam family "Bacterial small subunit ribosomal RNA", at positions 524 to 776 of the family's 1533-position model. RNAcentral also lists the same sequence under 2 other names. The record is from RNAcentral.
UACGUAGGCAGCGAGCGUUGUUCGGAAUUACUGGGCGUAAAGAGUGUGUAGGCGGUGCUCUAAGUUCGGUGUGAAAUCUCCUGGCUCAACUGGGAGGGUGCGCCGGAAACUGGAGUGCUUGAGCGUGGGAGAGGAAAGCGGAAUUCCUGGUGUAGCGGUGAAAUGCGUAGAUAUCAGGAGGAACACCUGUGGUGUAGACGGCUUUCUGGACCAUAGCUGACGCUGAGACACGAAAGCGUGGGUAGCAAACAGG